RNAcentral lists this transfer RNA (73 nucleotides) under Diaphorina citri (Asian citrus psyllid). It matches the Rfam family "tRNA". Rfam says of the family: Transfer RNA (tRNA) molecules are approximately 80 nucleotides in length. Their secondary structure includes four short double-helical elements and three loops (D, anti-codon, and T loops). Lineage: Eukaryota; Metazoa; Arthropoda; Insecta; Hemiptera; Psyllidae. The record is from Rfam by way of RNAcentral.
GUCUAGUUAGCUCGGUUGGUAGAGCGUCUGCCUUGUAUGCGCUAGGUCGCGGGUUCGAUUCCCGCCCAGGGCG